GCACUGCUGAAGAGUCCCAUACUAGGACGAAACGGCCGUCCACUGC
This 46-nucleotide non-coding RNA is filed under the name Schistosoma mattheei. Lineage: Eukaryota; Metazoa; Platyhelminthes; Trematoda; Strigeidida; Schistosomatidae. The record is from RNAcentral.